GUGGGGAAUAUUCCGCAAUGGACGAAAGUCUGACGGAGCAACGCCGCGUGAGUGAUGAAGGUUUUCGGACUGUAAAGCUCUGUUGUUUAGGACGAAAGUGCCUGUUGCAAACAGUUACAGGUAUUGACGGUACUAAACGAGGAAGCCACGGCUAACUACGUGCCAGCAGCCGCGGUAAUACGUAGGUGGCAAGCGUUGUCCGGAAUUAUUGGGCGUAAAGAGCAUGUAGGCGGGAAUCUAAGUCUGUUGUUAAAAUGCGGGGCUCAACCCCGUAUUGCGAUGGAAACUGGGUUUCUGGAGUGCAGGAGAGGAAAGGGGAAUUCCCAGUGUAGCGGUGAAAUGCGUAGAUAUUGGGAGGAACACCAGUGGCGAAGGCGCCUUUCUGGACUGUGUCUGACGCUGAGAUGCGAAAGCCAGGGUAGCGAACGGGAUUAGAUACCCGGGUAGUCC
This 450-nucleotide ribosomal RNA is filed under the name uncultured bacterium. Its description in RNAcentral is "partial 16S ribosomal RNA". It matches the Rfam family "Bacterial small subunit ribosomal RNA", at positions 354 to 796 of the family's 1533-position model. The record is from RNAcentral.